UUUCCGUAGGUGAACCUGCGGAAGGAUCAUUAUCAUGUAAUUCAGUCCCCUUGGCUGUGUUAUAUAUAUACCCACUCUGUGUACCUUCUCCUGUUGCUUCCGCUGGGUGUGUAAUUCGCCCGGCGGAAGGGUAAAAAUAACCUCUGAGUAUUGAUGAAAUCUCCGUCUGAACCGAAUAGAAAGAAAAAUGUUAAAACUUUCAGCAACGGAUCUCUUGGUUCUC
This 223-nucleotide unclassified non-coding RNA is filed under the name plant metagenome. RNAcentral's name for it is "partial contains small subunit ribosomal RNA, internal transcribed spacer 1, and 5.8S ribosomal RNA". The record is from RNAcentral.